Molecule: non-coding RNA, 23 nt
Filed under: Arabidopsis thaliana (thale cress)
Lineage: Eukaryota; Viridiplantae; Streptophyta; Magnoliopsida; Brassicales; Brassicaceae
Source: RNAcentral
AGCAAGCAGAGGAGGUGUAGGUA